UACGUAGGAGGCAAGCGUCGUCCGGACUGACUGGGCGUAAAGCGCGCGCAGGCGGUGCGGGGCGUCGGUGCUGAAAUCGGGCCGCUUAACGGCCCGUGGCGUGCCGAUACGCCCGUACUGGAGGGUGGGCGAGGGUGGUGGAAUUGCCGGUGUAGUGGUGAAAUGCGUAGAGAUCGGCAGGAACACCCGUGGCGCAAGCGGCCACCUAGCCCAUUCCUGACGCUGAUGCGCGACAGCGUGGGGAGCGAACUGG
RNAcentral lists this ribosomal RNA (253 nucleotides) under uncultured bacterium. Its description in RNAcentral is "partial 16S ribosomal RNA". It matches the Rfam family "Bacterial small subunit ribosomal RNA", at positions 524 to 776 of the family's 1533-position model. The record is from RNAcentral.